UACGUAGGGUGCGAGCGUUGUCCGGAAUUAUUGGGCGUAAAGAGCUCGUAGGCGGUCUGUCGCGUCGGCUGUGAAAACCCGAGGCUCAACCUCGGGCCUGCAGUCGAUACGGGCAAACUAGAGUACUGCAGGGGAGACUGGAAUUCCUGGUGUAGCGGUGAAAUGCGCAGAUAUCAGGAGGAACACCGGUGGCGAAGGCGGGUCUCUGGGCUGAAACUGACGCUCAAGCACGAAAGCGUGGGGAGCAAACAGG
Molecule: ribosomal RNA, 253 nt
Filed under: uncultured bacterium
Lineage: Bacteria
Description: partial 16S ribosomal RNA
Rfam family: Bacterial small subunit ribosomal RNA
Source: RNAcentral